ACUUAAGUAGUUUAUUAUAGAAUAACAAUUUGUGGUGUUGUAGGAAUUUUUUAAUCUUAAGUU
This 63-nucleotide transfer RNA is filed under the name Dindymus rubiginosus. RNAcentral's name for it is "tRNA-His". Lineage: Eukaryota; Metazoa; Arthropoda; Insecta; Hemiptera; Pyrrhocoridae. The record is from RNAcentral.